UGAAAAUAGUCUAAUUUUAUUACUGUCAAUUUUAUUUUAAAAUUAAUGAAGAAACGUAAUGGACAAUAAAAAUGUAGAAUCACAAGAUGUUUGUGUGUCACUGGUGCCAGUAGAAUUAGGUCCCGUGAAAUAUAGAAACUGUCCAGUGUUGCACAGAUCUGUGUCACAGUAAACGCAUACCACCUUUGAACUGUUCGGCAUCCGCUCAUGUACUUAGCAAGAACCCAAUGGAAAACAUCCUUUUUCGACGUGUAGACGAUCGGCUAUAAAAUCUGCAGAUGAUAAUGCAAACGAACGUUUGUAAGGAUCGUCAUCAGCAAAUCGGCACCUUCCUGUUUUAAUAGGAUCCCUGCAUUCUCUGCUACAUCUGUAACGAAAAUUACUGGAAGGCGUGAUAUUCUUGGACGGAACGAUUUGAUAAUUUUUGAUGACAAUUUAUUUGUGGAAAUUAAAAAAAUUAACAAGAAAUAAAAGUUGACAGUUCUGCGAGUAA
Long non-coding RNA from Zophobas morio, 493 nucleotides. RefSeq lists it as uncharacterized. Lineage: Eukaryota; Metazoa; Arthropoda; Insecta; Coleoptera; Tenebrionidae. The record is from RefSeq and is a predicted model, not a curated record. The transcript has 2 exons.